AGAUUGAACGCUGGCGGCAGGCCUAACACAUGCAAGUCGAGCGGCAGCACGGGUACUUGUACCUGGUGGCGAGCGGCGGACGGGUGAGUAAUGCCUAGGAAUCUGCCUGAUAGUGGGGGAUAACGUUCGGAAACGGACGCUAAUACCGCAUACGUCCUACGGGAGAAAGUGGGGGAUCUUCGGACCUCACGCUAUCAGAUGAGCCUAGGUCGGAUUAGCUAGUUGGUAGGGUAAAGGCCUACCAAGGCUACGAUCCGUAACUGGUCUGAGAGGAUGAUCAGUCACACUGGAACUGAGACACGGUCCAGACUCCGUACGGGAGCAGCAGUGGGAA
Molecule: ribosomal RNA, 334 nt
Filed under: uncultured soil bacterium
Lineage: Bacteria
Description: bacterial SSU rRNA
Rfam family: Bacterial small subunit ribosomal RNA
Source: RNAcentral